This 429-nucleotide ribosomal RNA is filed under the name Bacteroidota bacterium. RNAcentral's name for it is "Bacteroidetes bacterium partial 16S ribosomal RNA". It matches the Rfam family "Bacterial small subunit ribosomal RNA", at positions 355 to 776 of the family's 1533-position model. Lineage: Bacteria; Pseudomonadati; Bacteroidota. The record is from RNAcentral.
UAGGGAAUCUUCGGCAAUGGGGGGAACCCUGACCGAGCAACGCCGCGUGUGUGAAGAAGGUUUUCGGAUCGUAAAGCUCUGUUGUUAAGGAAGAACGAGUGUGAGAAUGGAAAGUUCAUGCUGUGACGGUACUUAACCAGAAAGGGACGGCUAACUACGUGCCAGCAGCCGCGGUAAUACGUAGGUCCCGAGCGUUGUCCGGAUUUAUUGGGCGUAAAGCGAGCGCAGGCGGUUAGAGAAGUCUGAAGUGAAAGGCAGUGGCUCAACCAUUGUAGGCUUUGGAAAGUGUUUAAAUGGAGUGCAGAAGGGGAGAGUGAAUUUACAUGUAUAGCGGUGAAAUGCGUAGAUAUAUGGAGGAACACCGGUGGCGAAAGCGGCUCUCUGGUCUGUAUCUCACGCUGGGACUAGAGAGCGUGGGGAGAGAACAGG